RNAcentral lists this ribosomal RNA (254 nucleotides) under uncultured bacterium. Its description in RNAcentral is "partial 16S ribosomal RNA". It matches the Rfam family "Bacterial small subunit ribosomal RNA", at positions 524 to 776 of the family's 1533-position model. The record is from RNAcentral.
UACGUAGGGUGCAAGCGUUAAUCGGAAUUACUGGGCGUAAAGCGUGCGCAGGCGGUUAUGUAAGACAGGUGUGAAAUCCCCGGGCUCAACCCGGAAAUGGCAUUGGAAACUGCGUGGCUAGAGGGUUGGAGGGGGGACUGGAAUACUUGGUGUAGCAGUGAAAUGCGUAGAUAUCAAGUGGAACACCAGUGGCGAAGGCGAGUCCCUGGACAACCACCUGACACUGAGGCACGAAAGCUAGGGGAGCAAACAGG